CCUGGCUCAGGACGAACGCUGGCGGCGCGCCUAACACAUGCAAGUCGAACGAGCGAGAGAGAGCUUGCUUUCUCAAGCGAGUGGCGAACGGGUGAGUAACGCGUGAGGAACCUGCCUCAAAGAGGGGGACAACAGUUGGAAACGACUGCUAAUACCGCAUAAGCCCACGGCUCGGCAUCGAGCAGAGGGAAAAGGAGCAAUCCGCUUUGAGAUGGCCUCGCGUCCGAUUAGCUAGUUGGUGAGGUAAUGGCCCACCAAGGCGACGAUCGGUAGCCGGACUGAGAGGUUGAACGGCCACAUUGGGACUGAGACACGGCCCAGACUCCUACGGGAGGCAGCAGUGGGGAAUAUUGCACAAUGGGGGAAACCCUGAUGCAGCGACGCCGCGUGGAGGAAGAAGGUCUUCGGAUUGUAAACUCCUGUUGUUGAGGAAGAUAAUGACGGUACUCAACAAGGAAGUGACGGCUAACUACGUGCCAGCAGCCGCGGUAAAACGUAGGUCACAAGCGUUGUCCGGAAUUACUGGGUGUAAAGGGAGCGCAGGCGGGAAGACAAGUUGGAAGUGAAAUCCAUGGGCUCAACCCAUGAACUGCUUUCAAAACUGUUUUUCUUGAGUAGUGCAGAGGUAGGCGGAAUUCCCGGUGUAGCGGUGGAAUGCGUAGAUAUCGGGAGGAACACCAGUGGCGAAGGCGGCCUACUGGGCACCAACUGACGCUGAGGCUCGAAAGUGUGGGUAGCAAACAGGAUUAGAUACCCUGGUAGUCCACACUGUAAACGAUGAUUACUAGGUGUUGGAGGAUUGACCCCUUCAGUGCCGCAGUUAACACAAUAAGUAAUCCACCUGGGGAGUACGACCGCAAGGUUGAAACUCAAAGGAAUUGACGGGGGCCCGCACAAGCAGUGGAGUAUGUGGUUUAAUUCGACGCAACGCGAAGAACCUUACCAAGUCUUGACAUCCCUUGACGAUGCUGGAAACAGUAUUUCUCUUCGGAGCAAGGAGACAGGUGGUGCAUGGUUGUCGUCAGCUCGUGUCGUGAGAUGUUGGGUUAAGUCCCGCAACGAGCGCAACCCUUAUGGUCAGUUACUACGCAAGAGGACUCUGGCCAGACUGCUGUUGACAAAACGGAGGAAGGUGGGGAUGACGUCAAAUCAUCAUGCCCUUUAUGACUUGGGCUACACACGUACUACAAUGGCGUUAAACAAAGAGAAGCAAGACCGCGAGGUGGAGCAAAACUCAGAAACAACGUCCCAGUUCGGACUGCAGGCUGCAACUCGCCUGCACGAAGUCGGAAUUGCUAGUAAUCGCAGAUCAGCAUGCUGCGGUGAAUACGUUCCCGGGCCUUGCACACACCGC
This 1354-nucleotide ribosomal RNA is filed under the name uncultured bacterium. RNAcentral's name for it is "bacterial SSU rRNA". It matches the Rfam family "Bacterial small subunit ribosomal RNA", at positions 18 to 1393 of the family's 1533-position model. The record is from RNAcentral.